GUGGGGAAUAUUGGACAAUGGGCGAAAGCCUGAUCCAGCCAUGCCGCGUGUGUGAAGAAGGUCUUCGGAUUGUAAAGCACUUUAAGUUGGGAGGAAGGGCAGUAAGUUAAUACCUUGCUGUUUUGACGUUACCAACAGAAUAAGCACCGGCUAACUUCGUGCCAGCAGCCGCGGUAAUACGAAGGGUGCAAGCGUUAAUCGGAAUUACUGGGCGUAAAGCGCGCGUAGGUGGUUCAGCAAGUUGAAGGUGAAAUCCCCGGGCUCAACCUGGGAACUGCGUUCAAAACUGCUGAGCUAGAGUACGGUAGAGUGUGGUGGAAUUUCCUGUGUAGCGGUGAAAUGCGUAGAUAUAGGAAGGAACACCAGUGGCGAAGGCGACCACCUGGACUGAUACUGACACUGAGGUGCGAAAGCGUGGGGAGCAAACAGGAUUAGAAACCCCAGUAGUCC
RNAcentral lists this ribosomal RNA (450 nucleotides) under uncultured bacterium. Its description in RNAcentral is "partial 16S ribosomal RNA". It matches the Rfam family "Bacterial small subunit ribosomal RNA", at positions 354 to 796 of the family's 1533-position model. The record is from RNAcentral.